UGGGGAAUAUUGCACAAUGGGGGAAACCCUGAUGCAGCAACGCCGCGUGAGUGAUGAAGGUCUUCGGAUUGUAAAGCUCUGUCUUUGGGGACGAUAAUGACGGUACCCAAGGAGGAAGCCACGGCUAACUACGUGCCAGCAGCCGCGGUAAUACGUAGGUGGCAAGCGUUGUCCGGAUUUACUGGGCGUAAAGGGAGCGUAGGCGGACUUUUAAGUGGGAUGUGAAAUACUCGGGCUUAACCUGAGUGCUGCAUUCCAAACUGGAAGUCUAGAGUACAGGAGGGGAAAGUGGAAUUCCUAGUGUAGCGGUGAAAUGCGUAGAGAUUAGGAAGAACACCGGUGGCGAAGGCGACUUUCUGGACUGUAACUGACGCUGAGGCUCGAAAGCGUGGGGAGCAAACA
Molecule: ribosomal RNA, 402 nt
Filed under: uncultured prokaryote
Description: bacterial SSU rRNA
Rfam family: Bacterial small subunit ribosomal RNA
Source: RNAcentral